AUUGGUAACGAUAGCUAAGUGGAUACACCUCUUCCCAUCUCGAACAGAGCAGUUAAGCACUUAAACGCCGACGAUAGCUGCAUAAGCUAAAAUAGGUAGUUGCCAAUA
RNAcentral lists this ribosomal RNA (108 nucleotides) under Mollicutes bacterium. The record is from RNAcentral. Lineage: Bacteria; Bacillati; Mycoplasmatota; Mollicutes.